RNAcentral lists this long non-coding RNA (151 nucleotides) under Canis lupus familiaris (dog). Its description in RNAcentral is "lncRNA (ENSCAFG00845023648.1)". Lineage: Eukaryota; Metazoa; Chordata; Mammalia; Carnivora; Canidae. The record is from RNAcentral.
UUCCCUUGCUUCUAAUGGUUAUCACGUACCAACCCAAGUGGCUGCCGCCUUAUUAAUCAUCAUAUUCAUGAAAAGCUCUACUACUAUGAGAAGUAGAACCCUGUGCCCAUCCUCCACAGCACAGCAGUCUUGGCUGAUGAUGUCUGUAUGA